GCUCCGGCCUGGCUCCUUUCAGCCACUGGGAUUUGGGGUGGCACUCCACGGUGGAAAGAGGAACUAUGAACUGAUGUUUACCGUCUGUGAGCAAGCAUUUGGGAUUAACGUUUUUCAGGAACUGAAGAGCCAUAAGGAAGGAGAGGCCCACAUUAGCAUCACCUUACUAUUAAACAGUGAGGAGAGAGUGAAGGUGGAGACGAAGGAGGGAAGACCAAACUGCCUGAGCCCCAGAUAAUAGGCCCAGCUUGAUGGAAGACGGCAACAAUAAGGCAAAUGUGGACCAAAAGAGCUAAGGAGGAAUGAUGUGCAAUCCCAUACCCCAAAGGCUUUUAAGAAGAGGAGACUUAUGGCAAACGAUGAAGAAUCAUAUCUCGGACAGAAUUUAAAAGAUAUUAUGCACCUGGUUCUCCUCCAAGAGAGUGGCACUCUGUCGAAAAGGAAAAUGCGUGAAAUAGUACCCACCCUUGGAGACACUGAGCAAAUAGGCACUGACGGUUUCUUUGAUAAUGGGUCACGUGGAACUCAAACAGGCUUGCAUUGGUGGAAGAACAUUCCCUAAAUUACUGGUUGAGUUCCAGCCAAAAUGCAGAGAAAUUGCUCAGUAAAUACCAUUGGUUGAUUGA
Molecule: long non-coding RNA, 626 nt
Organism: Tachyglossus aculeatus (Australian echidna)
Lineage: Eukaryota; Metazoa; Chordata; Mammalia; Monotremata; Tachyglossidae
Exons: 3
Source: RefSeq, a predicted model, not a curated record